CCUCUCUCUCUCUCUCUCCUUCUCUUUCUCUCUCUAGACGCCUACUCCGGCGAGGGCUUUGGUUUCGUGGAGCCUCAGGCAUUGCAUUGCGUGAGGCCGAACCCUCCCGUCGUUUCUUUGUGCUCUUUGUUGCCUAGGGUUUGGGGUUUUCUUGGACGGACGCCGCUUGGCUCCCUCCGACUCUGCUCUCCCGUACCAGAGCUCACAGGGGAGAACAAAAGCAGGCGCUAGUGGACAAGAUGAAGGUAUUAAAGUG
RNAcentral lists this long non-coding RNA (256 nucleotides) under Phoenix dactylifera (date palm). RNAcentral describes it as "long non-coding RNA (PDAC_LNC005475)". Lineage: Eukaryota; Viridiplantae; Streptophyta; Magnoliopsida; Arecales; Arecaceae. The record is from RNAcentral.